UGAGGAACAUGACCUUCGGCGGGGGAUAGCCGGCCCAACGGCCGGGUAAUACCGCGUACGACCAUUUGGGGACAUCCCCGAGUGGUGAAAGCAGCAAUGCGCCGAUGGAGUGCCUCGCGGCCUAUCAGCUAGUUGGUGGGGUAACGCUCACAAAGGCAACGACGGGUAGCUGGUCUGAGAGGAUGGCCAGCCACAUUGGGACUGAGACACGGCCAGACUCCGUACGGGAGG
Molecule: ribosomal RNA, 231 nt
Filed under: uncultured bacterium
Lineage: Bacteria
Description: partial 16S ribosomal RNA
Rfam family: Bacterial small subunit ribosomal RNA
Source: RNAcentral